CAUGCAAGUCGAGGGGAAACGACAUCGAAAGCUUGCUUUUGAUGGGCGUCGACCGGCGCACGGGUGAGUAACGCGUAUCCAACCUGCCCACCACUUGGGGAUAACCUUGCGAAAGUAAGACUAAUACCCAAUGACGUCUCUAGAAGACAUCUGAAAGAGAUUAAAGAUUUAUCGGUGAUGGAUGGGGAUGCGUCUGAUUAGCUUGUUGGCGGGGUAACGGCCCACCAAGGCGACGAUCAGUAGGGGUUCUGAGAGGAAGGUCCCCCACAUUGGAACUGAGACACGGUCCAAACUCCUACGGGAGGCAGCAGUGAGGAAUAUUGGUCAAUGGACGAGAGUCUGAACCAGCCAAGUAGCGCGCAGGAAGACGGCCCUAUGGGUUGUAAACUGCUUUUAUAAGGGAAUAAAGUGAGAGUCGUGACUCUUUUUGCAUGUACCUUAUGAAUAAGGACCGGCUAAUUCCGUGCCAGCAGCCGCGGUAAUACGGAAGGUCCGGGCGUUAUCCGGAUUUAUUGGGUUUAAAGGGAGCGUAGGCCGGAGAUUAAGCGUGUUGUGAAAUGUAGAUGCUCAACAUCUGAACUGCAGCGCGAACUGGUUUCCUUGAGUACGCACAAAGUGGGCGGAAUUCGUGGUGUAGCGGUGAAAUGCUUAGAUAUCACGAAGAACUCCGAUUGCGAAGGCAGCUCACUGGAGCGCAACUGACGCUGAAGCUCGGAAGUGCGGGUAUCGAACAGGAUUAGAUACCCUGGUAGUCCGCACGGUAAACGAUGGAUGCCCGCUGUUGGUCUGAAUAGGUCAGCGGCCAAGCGAAAGCAUUAAGCAUCCCACCUGGGGAGUACGCCGGCAACGGUGAAACUCAAAGGAAUUGACGGGGGCCCGCACAAGCGGAGGAACAUGUGGUUUAAUUCGAUGAUACGCGAGGAACCUUACC
This 931-nucleotide ribosomal RNA is filed under the name uncultured bacterium. Its description in RNAcentral is "bacterial SSU rRNA". It matches the Rfam family "Bacterial small subunit ribosomal RNA", at positions 54 to 975 of the family's 1533-position model. The record is from RNAcentral.